UACGUAGGGUGCGAGCGUUGUCCGGAAUUAUUGGGCGUAAAGGGCUCGUAGGCGGUUUGUCGCGUCGGGAGUGAAAACCAGGUGCUUAACACCUGGCUUGCUUUCGAUACGGGCAGACUAGAGGUAUGCAGGGGAGAACGGAAUUCCUGGUGUAGCGGUGAAAUGCGCAGAUAUCAGGAGGAACACCGGUGGCGAAGGCGGUUCUCUGGGCGUGACCUGACGCUGAGGAGCGAAAGUGUGGGGAGCGAACAGG
Molecule: ribosomal RNA, 253 nt
Filed under: uncultured bacterium
Lineage: Bacteria
Description: partial 16S ribosomal RNA
Rfam family: Bacterial small subunit ribosomal RNA
Source: RNAcentral